UGGGGAAUUUUGCGCAAUGGGCGAAAGCCUGACGCAGCAACGCCGCGUGAGUGAUGAAGGCCUUCGGGUCGUAAAGCUCUGUCAGAGGGGAAGAAACGCCUGGCGGUUAAUACCCGGCCGGUCUGACGGUCCCCUCAAAG
RNAcentral lists this ribosomal RNA (140 nucleotides) under uncultured Desulfuromonas sp. RNAcentral describes it as "partial 16S ribosomal RNA". It matches the Rfam family "Bacterial small subunit ribosomal RNA", at positions 355 to 486 of the family's 1533-position model. Lineage: Bacteria; Pseudomonadati; Thermodesulfobacteriota; Desulfuromonadia; Desulfuromonadales; Desulfuromonadaceae. The record is from RNAcentral.